This 400-nucleotide ribosomal RNA is filed under the name uncultured eukaryote. Its description in RNAcentral is "bacterial SSU rRNA". It matches the Rfam family "Eukaryotic small subunit ribosomal RNA", at positions 592 to 990 of the family's 1831-position model. The record is from RNAcentral.
CAAUAGCGUAUACUAACGUUGUUGCAGUUAAAAAGCUCGUAGUUGGAUUUCUGUAGUGGGAUGCCGGCCGGGUUCUCUGAACUUGUAGCUAGGUUAUCUUGCUGCAUCUUGUCGUAAUUCUCACUGGCAUUCAUUUGUUGGUGUAGAGGACCGACUCGUUUACUUUGAGAAAAUUAGAGUGUUUAAAGCAGGCUAUAGCUUUGAAUAUGUUAGCAUGGAAUAAUAAUAUAGGACUUUACGUUCUAUUUUGUUGGUUGUUCGAGGACGUAAGUAAUGAUUGAUAGGGACAGUUGGGGGGCAUCAGUAUUCUGAAGCGAGAGGUGAAAUUCUUGGACCUUCGGAAGACUAACAACUGCGAAAGCAUUUGCCUAGGAUGUUCUCUUUAAUCAAGAACGAAGGU